RNAcentral lists this ribosomal RNA (200 nucleotides) under uncultured bacterium. Its description in RNAcentral is "partial 16S ribosomal RNA". It matches the Rfam family "Bacterial small subunit ribosomal RNA", at positions 32 to 221 of the family's 1533-position model. The record is from RNAcentral.
AAUCAACGCUGGCGGCGUGCCUAACACAUGCAAGUCGAACGAGAAAGUGACUUCGGUCACUGGAUAGUGGCGUCCGGGUGAGUAACACGUAGGUAAUCUACCUUCGGGUGGGGAAUAACUCGCCGAAAGGCGAGCUAAUACCGCAUAAUGCAGCGGCACCUAAUAGGUGAUUAGUUAGUUAAAGACGGGGGAGUCUUCGG